GAUGAACGCUGGCGGCGUGCUUAACACAUGCAAGUCGAACGAACCUUCGGGUUAGUGGCGGACGGGUGAGUAACGCGUGGGAAUCUGCCCUCAGGAGGGGGAUAACGGCCGGAAACGGCCGCUAAUACCCCAUAUGCCGAGAGGUGAAAUGAAUUUCGCCUGAGGAUGAGCCCGCGUCUGAUUAGCUAGUUGGUGGGGUAAUGGCCCACCAAGGCGACGAUCAGUAGCUGGUCUGAGAGGAUGAUCAGCCACACUGGGACUGAGACACGGCCCAGACUCCUACGGGAGGCAGCAGUGGGGAAUUUUCCGCAAUGGGCGAAAGCCUGACGGAGCAACGCCGCGUGAGGGAUGAAGGCCUCUGGGCUGUAAACCUCUUUUCUCAAGGAAGAAGACAUGACGGUACUUGAGGAAUAAGCCACGGCUAAUUCCGUGCCAGCAGCCGCGGUAAUACGGGAGUGGCAAGCGUUAUCCGGAAUUAUUGGGCGUAAAGCGUCCGCAGGCGGCCUUGUAAGUCUGUCGUUAAAGCGUGGAGCUUAACUCCAUUUAAGCGAUGGAAACUACAAGGCUUGAGUGUGGUAGGGGCAGAGGGAAUUCCCGGUGUAGCGGUGAAAUGCGUAGAUAUCGGGAAGAACACCAGUGGCGAAGGCGCUCUGCUGGGCCAUAACUGACGCUCAUGGACGAAAGCCAGGGGAGCGAAAGGGAUUAGAUACCCCUGUAGUCCUGGCCGUAAACGAUGAACACUAGGUGUCGGGGGAAUCGACCCCCUCGGUGUCGUAGCUAACGCGUUAAGUGUUCCGCCUGGGGAGUACGCACGCAAGUGUGAAACUCAAAGGAAUUGACGGGGGCCCGCACAAGCGGUGGAGUAUGUGGUUUAAUUCGAUGCAACGCGAAGAACCUUACCAGGGUUUGACAUCCUGCGAAUCCCUUGGAAACGAGGGAGUGCCUUCGGGAGCGCAGAGACAGGUGGUGCAUGGCUGUCGUCAGCUCGUGUCGUGAGAUGUUGGGUUAAGUCCCGCAACGAGCGCAACCCACGUCUUUAGUUGCCAGCAUUCAGUUGGGCACUCUAGAGAGACCGCCGGUGAUAAACCGGAGGAAGGUGUGGAUGACGUCAAGUCAUCAUGCCCCUUACAUCCUGGGCUACACACGUACUACAAUGCUACGGACAAAGGGUUGCAAGCUCGCGAGAGUUAGCUAAUCCCAUAAACCGUGGCUCAGUUCAGAUCGUAGGCUGCAACUCGCCUACGUGAAGGAGGAAUCGCUAGUAAUCGCAGGUCAGCAUACUGCGGUGAAUACGUUCCCGGGCCUUGUACACACCGCCCGUCACACCAUGGAAGUUGGCCAUGCCCGAAGUCGUUACUCCAACCCUUGUGGAGGAGGACGCCGAAGGUGGGGCUGAUGACUGGGGUGAAGUCGUAACAAGGUAGCCGUACCGGAAGGUGCGGCUGGAUCACCUCCU
This 1456-nucleotide ribosomal RNA is filed under the name Cyanobium sp. JJ8-3. RNAcentral describes it as "16S ribosomal RNA". It matches the Rfam family "Bacterial small subunit ribosomal RNA". Lineage: Bacteria; Bacillati; Cyanobacteriota; Cyanophyceae; Synechococcales; Prochlorococcaceae. The record is from RNAcentral. RNAcentral also lists the same sequence under 4 other names.